Molecule: ribosomal RNA, 449 nt
Filed under: uncultured bacterium
Lineage: Bacteria
Description: partial 16S ribosomal RNA
Rfam family: Bacterial small subunit ribosomal RNA
Source: RNAcentral
AACGAACGCUGGCGGCAGGCCUAACACAUGCAAGUCGAACGCUCCAGCAAUGGAGAGUGGCAGACGGGUGAGUAACGCGUGGGAACCUACCCUUUGGUUCGGAAUAGCUCAGGGAAACUUGAGGUAAUACCGGAUAAGCCCUUCGGGGGAAAGAUUUAUCGCCAACGGAUGGGCCCGCGUCGGAUUAGCUAGUUGGUAGGGUAACGGCCUACCAAGGCGACGAUCCGUAGCUGGUCUGAGAGGAUGAUCAGCCACACUGGGACUGGGACACGGCCCAGAAUCCUACGGGAGGCAGCAGUGGGGAAUAUUGGACAAUGGGCGCAAGCCUGAUCCAGCCAUGCCGCGUGAGUGACGAAGGUCGUCGGAUUGUAAAGCUCUUUUGGCGGGGAAGAUAAUGACGGUACCCGCAGAAUAAGCCCCGGCUAACUUCGUGCCAGCCGCCGCGGUAA